GGUACCUAGUAAACUCGUUUGGUAUGUAACACUAUUGUAGGGGCACGAAAGAAUAAUGAUUGGAAACGAAAUAAACGGUGUCGCCGAAAACAAACGUUUAAAACCGAACAAGACUUGGUUAAAUAUGAGAAAAAAAAAAAAAAAAACGCUAAAUUGCUUGGGCGUCUAUAUUUGACGGGAAUUCUCGUGCGAUAUCGAAUCUAGGCGGGAAAUAUUAC
Molecule: non-coding RNA, 218 nt
Organism: Cinara cedri
Lineage: Eukaryota; Metazoa; Arthropoda; Insecta; Hemiptera; Aphididae
Source: the annotation of a GenBank genome assembly